UGAGUCAUGUGUGCAGAUACACGGACGUGAGUCUCGUGUGCAGAUACCAUGGACACCAUGAGUCAUGUGUGUGCAGAUACAUGGACACCGUGAGUCAUGUGUGUAGAUGCAUGGAUACUGUGUAAGUAAAGUAGAAGAACAUGCUGGGGGAGAGUGCAUGCUUCAUCCAGAACUGUGAUUCUCUGUCUGGGUGGACAAGCUGAACAGCU
Molecule: long non-coding RNA, 209 nt
Filed under: Homo sapiens (human)
Lineage: Eukaryota; Metazoa; Chordata; Mammalia; Primates; Hominidae
Description: non-protein coding lnc-GAS6-2:2
Source: RNAcentral